This 376-nucleotide unclassified non-coding RNA is filed under the name soil metagenome. RNAcentral's name for it is "partial contains 5.8S ribosomal RNA, internal transcribed spacer 2, and large subunit ribosomal RNA". The stretch from base 1 to 120 matches the Rfam family "5.8S ribosomal RNA", at positions 35 to 154 of the family's 154-position model. The record is from RNAcentral.
GAUGAAGAACGCAGCGAAAUGCGAUAAGUAAUGUGAAUUGCAGAAUUCAGUGAAUCAUCGAAUCUUUGAACGCAUCUUGCGCUCCUUGGUAUUCUGAGGAGCAUGCCUGUUUGAGUGUCAUUAAAUUCUCAACUACACUGACUUUGAAUUGGUGUGGCUUGGAUUUGGGGGGAAAAUUGUUGUGGGCUUUUUGUAUAGUCUGCUCCCCUGAAAUUGAUUAGCGGUACCUUUGUGGAACUGUCUACAGGUGUGAUAAUUAUCUACAUCUUAGGCAUCUGCUGGAAUGCUGCUUUCUAAACCUUACUUGUAUUGACAAUCUUGACCUCAAAUCAGGUAGGACUACCCGCUGAACUUAAGCAUAUCAAUAAGCGGAGGA